Molecule: ribosomal RNA, 468 nt
Filed under: uncultured bacterium
Lineage: Bacteria
Description: partial 16S ribosomal RNA
Rfam family: Bacterial small subunit ribosomal RNA
Source: RNAcentral
GACGAACGCUGGCGGCGUGCUUAACACAUGCAAGUCGAACGGAAAGGCCCUGCUUUUGUGGGGUGCUCGAGUGGCGAACGGGUGAGUAACACGUGAGUAACCUGCCCUUGACUUUGGGAUAACUUCAGGAAACUGGGGCUAAUACCGGAUAGGAGCUCCUGCUGCAUGGUGGGGGUUGGAAAGUUUCGGCGGUUGGGGAUGGACUCGCGGCUUAUCAGCUUGUUGGUGGGGUAGUGGCUUACCAAGGCUUUGACGGGUAGCCGGCCUGAGAGGGUGACCGGCAACAUUGGGACUGAGAUACGGCCCAGACUCAUACGGGAGGCAGCAGUGGGGAAUAUUGCACAAUGGGAGGAAGCCUGAUGCAGCAACGCCGCGUGCGGGAUGACGGCCUUCGGGUUGUAAACCGCUUUCGCCUGUGACGAAGCGUGAGUGACGGUAAUGGGUAAAGAAGCACCGGCUAACUACGUG